This 1217-nucleotide long non-coding RNA is filed under the name Fukomys damarensis (Damara mole-rat). Its description in RNAcentral is "lncRNA (ENSFDAG00000027739.1)". The record is from RNAcentral. Lineage: Eukaryota; Metazoa; Chordata; Mammalia; Rodentia; Bathyergidae.
CUGGCAAAUCCACUCAUAGGAUUUCUGGGGAAUUUCUCUAAGAAUAACAACACGCUGCUUUCUUGACUCACAAAUGUGGGGCCGCAGGACUCCAGCUGCUUUCAGUUCAGGAGAGCAACAGCUCUUCAGGUGUUGUCAGAACUUGGACCAGAGGAGAUCACGUCCUCAGGUCUGGCUUCAGAACCUGCUUUGAGAAAGAAGACACCUGUCUCUAUCCGGUACCUCUGUCACGCCCAGCUCCACAGUCGUGUGACAUCGGGAGAAGCACGCGGGAGUGCGGAGUGAAGAGGGAGAGCUCGGGGAGGCGCUGGAACCAUCCGGCGGAGUACCAGUCGGUCUGUGGCAGCUGUCCCGUUCCCCCCGCUCUGGGUGAGAGUUGUUCUGAAAAGGUUUCCCCCACACACACAUAGGAUAUUUUGCUUACAAUCUUCCUUAAUUUCUUCCCCUGAUAAUUAAAAGAAUAGGUUGAAAUAUAGGCUUACAUUUAAAAAGAUAUUUGUUCUCCUUUUUAAAAAAAAGUCAAGGAAAGUUUGGUUAGACAUUUGAGGAUGUUAGUUUUGGAGACAAGUGGAAAGUAACUUUCCACUAAGUUGAUCUAGAAACUUAAAUUUAUGUUCAUCAAGCGACCUCAGAUUAAGGCCGGGUGUGGCGGUGCAUGUCUUUAAUCCCAGCACACGGUAGGCUGAGGCAGGAGGAUUGUUGUAAAUUCGAGGCCAGCCUGAAGUACGUAGGGAGAGGGGAGGGCGAGGAGCGGGGGGGUGGGCAGAAGGUGGUGGCAGCUUAAAUUGUAGAACACAAUUACUUCAACCUGUAAAGAUUUUUCAGUGUUUUAUUUAAGCAAUAUUUCAGAAACUGUUGUUUCAAAGAAAGUUUUGUUCAAGUACACAGUCUCUUUCACUUUCUCACAACUGUUCUGUUUCUUUUAUAUUCAAAUAAAGUUCAGUACAUUACCUGCAUGUGGUAAGGCUCCUUGAGAUACAGACGUCACAGCUAGGGAGAAUUCUGAUUGGUCCUCUCUUGGUUGAGUUACAUGCCUUGAACCAAUCUGGGUGGCAUAUGAGUGGAGGAGGGUUCUGAUAGGCCAGACCUAGGUCAUGGGCCCACCCUCCGGCAGGGGGACCCCAAGUUUAGCCUAUUGGAUGGUUUCUCAGGAAAGAGGGUUUCUGCUGCAAACAAGGGCCUGAGGAUUAUGGGAGAAACCAAAACAGAUAUCCACA